UGGGGGAGAACGCUGAAGUCGUUUGUACUCGCCGGGCUUGUAUGUGCUCCCCCCCCCCCCCCCCCCCCCCCCCCCCCCCCCCCCUCCCCCCGCUACUGGAAGAUCUUUUUUAUUUUCCUUUGCCGCCUCCUAUGCUGGCAACGUCCUGCGAGUGGCUAUUUUGCUUUUGCGCCGAAGGAAGAGCUCCCCCCCUCGCCCUCUCUUCUGACACUUAUGGAUGAAAUCCACACUGAUGUCUAACCUGUAAUGAAUGACAAUCCCCUGCUGUUAAAAAGAGCAGCUACAAGUCCCUGCCUUCCUGAGUGGCAAGACUGGUCCCAGCCUGCUGAGCUCACAGUUUACGGGCUGAUGGCUGCUGUAAUCCAACAGCCACUGCCUCUCUCUGAUGAUGGAUACAGCUGAACAGUGGGGUCAGUGAAAUCUGCCCACUGCGACAGCCAUGGCUUCUGGAUCACCACAGGUCCUGCUGUGAGAUCCUUCUGCAGCUCUUCAAGGUCAACAUUAGGUCUGACUCCAACUGUGAAUAUUUUCCUUUUAUCAUCUGCAGUCUUUACAACUGCACUUUUUCAGACUGUUUAGGAACAGGUAGACCAGCAAAGGUGCCAGUACAAACCUCUGUGAGGGGGCAAUGUGAGGGGGCAAUGUUAAAACUGCCCAUUAGUCACUGUUGCUUAUCUUCUAACCUUUUACCUAUCCACAAAGAAUUUUAAGUAACUCCAUACUUCAUUUUGUUAACAGUCUUCAGUUACAGAACUUUCAAAAAACUUUAGGGUCACUUUUUCCUGUGGGUCUGAAAAUUACUCCUUCAAAUAACUAGCAAAGCUCUAAGACAAAACUACUUGUACAAAAGCCACAAUGGCUGCUAUUACACCUAUGCGUGUUCCUAUUAAUUUUUCAGCAUUAAUUUUUGAGUUCCUAUUAAUUUUUUUUCCUAUUGAUUUUUGUCACAAUCACUGGGAUUUUGUCUGUCAUGGUAGCCUGACUUUUUAGUUCAGUAGUCCAUUACCAUCCCUAAAACCCCUUUUAAAACUAGGGUCACAUUUGUUACUUUCCAUUUCUCUGUUAUCAAGGCUAAUUUAAGUAGCAGAUUACACAACACAGCUCAUCGUUUGUUCACCAAUUUAAUUUCUGAUUUUUUCUAGGACUACUGAAGGAACAGCAUGCUACUGGGCAAUUUAUUAAUGUUUAUUCAAUAAAAUCAUUAACAAAACUUUAUUGAAUAUCAAAUAUGAACAAUUCCCUACAAAAAAACAACUCCUAUUUGGGGAGGGCCCUAAUCUUCCUGUCAAACACCUUGCCAGUUCAAUGAGUUCCAUUAUUUCUCUCUGUAAUGGCUUUGUCUUUCCCUUAACCACAAUUAUCUAUUAAACUCACCUCCUUACUAGCAAAAUUUACAUGUGGAAAGAAUGGGGUUUGGCUUUUAGAAUUUUAGCCCAUUGCAUUUCAAAAUCUUUUAUGUUCUGCCUCAUAUUAGGUCUACACUUGCCAGAAUUGUGCUCUUUGCUGCUUUGCUUGCUUGGAUUUUACUUUUUAAAAAAAACUUUAGUUUCUAGUAGUUUCUUUUACUGUUGAAUUGUGUUGGAUAAUUCUUAUUUAAUUGGGUUAGAAUCAGAAAACAAAGUCCCCAUAUAAUUUUUUUUAUAUUUAUUUAAACUGUAUCUUCAUUGGCAUGCAAUUCUUUUUUUUAAACAAGACUGGAGUUUUACAAAUUUUAUUUUAAUCUUUUUUUCUCCUACAAGUUUGACAAACUUGAGUAUGGUAUUUCACUACUGAAUGGUUCUUCCAUAGUCAUUUGUUGUGUGCUGAUCUAGACUAAAUCAAGGGCUGUCUGUCUCCUUCUGGAUUUCCUAGCUUGUUUGCUCAAAAUUUAGUGCUCAAUGAUACCUAAAUACACAGCCUGUGCAUGAUGAGCUAAUGUGGCCUGCCAUUAAGUUYUUCCUGUCCAUAUAUAUUUAACCAAGAAGUGUUGCUAUGAUCAAGCUUUUGUGUUAUACAAUCUCCCCAGUCUACCACAGUAUUUCACUGCCUCCAUCCCACCAGCUAGCCCAGAGCUCUUACUAAAGUUCUCCUAUUCAGCUGUAUCACCAUAUAGGACUACAUCUUGUGUCUAAUUCUGAUAAAAUUAAACUAUUGGACUAAAUUUUCUUUGGUACAUACUGCACCAUUUGCCUGCGUAGUCCAAGCUACCAUCUCUGUAAUCAGCCAGGCACUCAACAUUCCAUCAUCUCCGGCCACAUGUAUGAUCCACACACUAACAUUUCAGUGUCCUCUUGAAAGAAAGGAAAGAGUCACAUGCAGAUACCCUUACAGCAUACCUGGGAAAUUCCUGCUUGAGUUCAUCCUUACCACUUUUCUGAAGAUUCAUUACUUUCAAGGUACAAUGAAGCAGAGCACUAUGAGAUAGCAAUGUACCAAGAUACCAAAUAAAAACUAGUGUAGGUUCCUUCCCAAGAGAGAUCAGGCGGCAUUUGAAGAAAGGACUGAUGAAUGCCACAGUUGUGUUAUUCAAGAUUUCUGUACCAAGAGAUGUUGUGACAGGAAGGGAAUAUAUGAAGAAUGCUACAGAAGUGUAAGAAGUCCUUCUGCAUAUGUGGCAGAACUUUGUGAUACUUGCAUUGACUUCCUUAUAUGAGAUGGGGUAAUCUGUUCUUACUGGUGUGGAGAAGAGAGGGAUGCUUUUAGAACACAAUGCCAGUAGCUACAGACUUGAGUUUGGCAGCUGAGAAGUCCUCCGGGGCUAGCUUUUUUUUCUGUUGGCUGCAACUCUUUCCCUUUUAUGAGGCCUGUGGUUGAAGCACCUUGUUUCUGCAUUACAUGGCAUCAGACACAACAGAACCCAGCAACUACACUGCAGCAUCCAGUGUGUAUUCAUUAUUAUUUAUCUGUACUACCAUAAAUCUUGGAAGGCCUCACCCUGAACCACUUGCAUUACACUGGGCCAUCAAUAAACAGACAGCAAAACAUAGAUGUUUAAAUUCUACAUAGAGACAACAGAGGGAUUAUGGCAGAGUCCAAAUGCAAUGACAUAGUACUACUGUGGUAUGUGCUGCCAUUAAUAUACCUGCAAUAUAACUGUUGUCUGGCUGGACUGUUUAAAGCUUCACAGUACAUAAAUUUUUAAAGAAAAAAUUAAGGGGAAGAUAGUGAACAUUUUUGUUUAUAAAGAAGUCUACCAAUACAUAAGAGGCAGCUAAGGAGAAAAUAUCCAGUGUGGUAUGAAAAUCUAAUGACCAAAUGAUAGAAGUUGGCAUCGUAUGUUGAUCAAAACCAGAGUCAACCUCUUGACACUGAAGGAGAGGUAUCAGGUAGAAGUAGUCUUAAUGGGCCUUAAAAAUAAAGACAGAUAGCUUAUCUUUAUUGCUUUAAAAUGAAGCAGAAAAUUGAAAAUAUCAAAACAGUAGGUUUGGAAAGUGGUAUUUACAGCUGAGCAGCACUUUAACUAGCUAACAAGAAAGGCAAGACUGCAUUUUGUCAAGCCAAAGUAAAAGAUUUUCUAAUAAAGAUCCAUGAAAAAUCUGGAUGAAAAAGUACCAUCAUCUGACAGAGAAGAAUGACUAUCCUUUAAGGGUUGGAAAAAGAUUCCCAAAAUGCAGGCCUAGAUUUGACGACAAAACGAAUGACAGCACAAUGUUAUCAUUCAUAAAGGAUCCAGAGAGGUUUUGUGAGGGCAUCAACCUAAAUACAAGAAAACCUACUAGCAAAAGACCAAGAGUUGUAACUGGAAAUAAAGAACUGAGGGCACUGCUGAAGAAAACUUUCAUGCAUUAAAUCUGCUUAGGACUGGAAAGGAAGAGGUAUAUGAAACGCAUGAAACAUUGUUUUUCCUACAAAUACUGAGAAAUGAGAUAUUUCUUUGGUGUCACAUUUAAAACUAAUUUGUUACAGCUAUCUAUGCUACCAUGCUUUGACUUUCAAGGGCUGAAGAAAAACAAUGUUCGUGACAUUACAAUGUGAGGAGUGCAACAAUGUGAGAAGUGCCUCAUUCCACUCAAACAAGGACAUGCUACAUUCAGGGCAGGCACCAUACGAGUAGAGUGCAAACCACAGUAGACAGAAGCUCUUGGAGACUUACAACUAACAUGCUGAAUGUUCAGACACCUUCCCUUGCUCUUCCUUCUCAGUGCACAGAAGGAAACUUACUCUGUUGCUGUAGUUCGGCAUUUCAGCUCUUGAGGUAUUCUUAAGCCCAGACAAUGUGUAGCUGUGCAGCAAAUGCCCACUCCCUACAUCCCAAAACAUCAUCUCCUUCUCUUGAUAUCUGUUUUCUUGCUCUUGUCCUGGUUUCAGUCAUUUAUAGCAUCACAGCAUGAGUUAAACCAAAGAAACAAUCAGAUCAGGUUUAAAACAACAGGUGCAAGAAGCAGUAAGUACUAGAGAGCUGGUUACAGCAGGAGACAAUUCAGAGUUCCUUCUCUUCCGAGUAUUUGUAGCAGUACUGCUGCAGGCAGAACAGAGCUGUGCCCCACCAUUAUCUCCCUAAAAAUACUGGGAAGUUGCCAUCACGGGAAGUGGAAGCAGUCACACCCAAGUGAUCUGCCUCUCAAUGGUGAUGAGAGAAAAAAUCAGAUACAGAUGAAACACGCAGAGGAUUCCUCAUACSCCACUCACUGGCAUGUCACUUUCCUUCCUUUUCUUCUCUGAAACUAGAUCUAUUCUGAGGCACUGCUGACCUAGAGGCACAGCUAGAAGGCUGUGUUUAAGGUUUGGGGUUUUUAUUUUUGCAAUCAUCUAAUCUCCCUCUGCAUUUCUUUCUUUUACCAAAUUUACUGCAAGUAAAAAUAUGUAUGGCCAAUAGGAUUGAAAGGUGAAAACAGAAAAUCUAUAGGUCAAAAUAUUUUAAAAGGAAAAUACGCUGAUUGAGACUUCUUUUAGUGCAAAAUGACACAUCCAAUAUCCUCAAAUAAUUAUUUAAAUUCAUAUUGAAAAAUCCCAAUUUCAUUUUAUAUUGCAAAAUCUCAGAAGAAUCGCUGUUCAGGCUCUUAAACUAGAACUCUGAAAAUACCCAUCCUGUAACAAAUAUAAUAAAAUUGUGGUUUGAGCACUGUUGAAGGUGAUGCAUUUCAAAAUCAUUAAGUUUUGUGUUUGAAAAAGAAAUUAUGGCUUCUGCUUAGCACUAAUUUUAUUUAGCAACCCAUUGUCCUCUGUUCUUAGUUGUAACUGUCAUCUUGAAUACACAAUUCAUAUACUAAUUCACAAGUAGUUACUGAGUCUUCUUUAAUGCUUUAAAGUACUUAUACUCCUCUCCAACAGAAGAAAACCAAAAACUUGGAGAAAAGCAUUUACUGAUAGUUUUAAACUUAAAUCUAUCAUAUAUUCAGUGCAAUGAAAAAUACCAAUAUCCAGUUAUCCAUUUAGUUCUCCUUUCAGGUAUGUUUUUCAAACCAUAUUAUGGGGUUUGGUUUUGGGUUUGGGUUUUUUGGGGUUUUGUUUGUUUGUUUGUUUGUUUGUUUGUUUGU
Molecule: long non-coding RNA, 5456 nt
Organism: Malurus melanocephalus (red-backed fairy wren)
Lineage: Eukaryota; Metazoa; Chordata; Aves; Passeriformes; Maluridae
Exons: 3
Source: RefSeq, a predicted model, not a curated record